UUAUAAGAUGUGUUAUCUAUGUCAAUUCAACUUUUGAGAGUCGUAUUCAGAUUGUAUCAUCGUGUCUGUUUAUAUGCAAUAUUAAAGAACCUGAUCUAACUAAUCAGGUCCUUUUUUGA
Molecule: small RNA, 119 nt
Filed under: Paenibacillus sp. Leaf72
Lineage: Bacteria; Bacillati; Bacillota; Bacilli; Caryophanales; Paenibacillaceae
Description: Bacillus sRNA ncr1015
Rfam family: Bacillus sRNA ncr1015
Source: Rfam by way of RNAcentral